This 77-nucleotide transfer RNA is filed under the name Bacteroidales bacterium. RNAcentral describes it as "tRNA-His". It matches the Rfam family "tRNA". From Rfam's summary of the family: Transfer RNA (tRNA) molecules are approximately 80 nucleotides in length. Their secondary structure includes four short double-helical elements and three loops (D, anti-codon, and T loops). Further hydrogen bonds mediate the characteristic L-shaped molecular structure. tRNAs have two regions of fundamental functional importance: the anti-codon, which is responsible for specific mRNA codon recognition, and the 3' end, to which the tRNAs corresponding amino acid is attached (by aminoacyl-tRNA synthetases). tRNAs cope with the degeneracy of the genetic code in two manners: having more than one tRNA (with a specific anti-codon) for a particular amino acid; and 'wobble' base-pairing, i.e. permitting non-standard base-pairing at the 3rd anti-codon position. The record is from RNAcentral. Lineage: Bacteria; Pseudomonadati; Bacteroidota; Bacteroidia; Bacteroidales.
GCCACCUUAGCUCAGCUGGUUAGAGUGUCAGAUUGUGGAUCUGAAGGUCAUGGGUUCGAAUCUCAUAGGUGGUACCA